GUGGGGAAUAUUGGACAAUGGGCGAAAGCCUGAUCCAGCCAUGCCGCGUGUGUGAAGAAGGUCUUCGGAUUGUAAAGCACUUUAAGUUGGGAGGAAGGGUAGUAACCUAAUACGUUGCUACUUUGACGUUACCGACAGAAUAAGCACCGGCUAACUUCGUGCCAGCAGCCGCGGUAAUACGAAGGGUGCAAGCGUUAAUCGGAAUUACUGGGCGUAAAGCGCGCGUAGGUGGUUCAGUAAGUUGGAAGUGAAAUCCCCGGGCUCAACCUGGGAACUGCAUCCAAAACUUGCGAGCUAGAGUACGGUAGAGGGUGGUGGAAUUUCCUGUGUAGCGGUGAAACGCGUAGAUAUAGGAAGGAACACCAGUGGCGAAGGCGACCACCUGGACUGAUACUGACACUGAGGUGCGAAAGCGUGGGGAGCAAACAGGAUUAGAAACCCCAGUAGUCC
RNAcentral lists this ribosomal RNA (450 nucleotides) under uncultured bacterium. RNAcentral's name for it is "partial 16S ribosomal RNA". It matches the Rfam family "Bacterial small subunit ribosomal RNA", at positions 354 to 796 of the family's 1533-position model. The record is from RNAcentral.